Chiroxiphia lanceolata (lance-tailed manakin) is the source of this 2456-nucleotide long non-coding RNA. RefSeq lists it as uncharacterized. The transcript is spliced from 2 exons. Lineage: Eukaryota; Metazoa; Chordata; Aves; Passeriformes; Pipridae. The record is from RefSeq and is a predicted model, not a curated record.
CCCCUUCCCAUGCCCGAACUUCUCGCAACCCCGCUGGGCUCCCACUGUGCCGGUGGGCAGCGGAGGACAGAGAAGUGUGCCCGUUCCCCUGCUCUCAUGGUGCCUCCCUAAGCUCGCGGGUGCCUUGUCACAGCGGCCGCAGGGCGGCUCGUACGGCGGGACGGGCACGGACACUCCGGGGCGUGUUAGCCACAGCCUUAAGAUGCAGGGAAGAGAGGCAGCCAGGUCCUGGGGACAAAAGAGUGGGAAUGGGGAAAAAAGUCCAUUACUCAUUACUUCCAUCAUCCCAGGACUCGGGUGGUUCUGUCAAAAUGAAGCAGCAGCGCCCGCACGCAGGAAUGCACCGUCAGCUCCAGCCUCUGUGUCAGGGCAGCAGUUUCCUGCAAUGCCUGUGUGAGUUAGAGUAUCUUGGACUGUAUCUCCAAGGCUUGGUGACAAAAGUGCAGCAAAGUACAUCCAAAGUAUGGAUAUACCAUGCAUUGAUCAACACACAGACUCAUCUAGAACUACGGAAACUAGACAAAAGCAGCAAAAUGCCUGCAAGUUAAUCAGAAUACACAGGGUCAUUGCAAAUCUUCAGAUCCUACUGCAUUGUUGGUCCUCAAAAAGUUGUCCACAGCACAAAGGAAAUAUAUGAUCUGAUGUGGAAUAAUACAAGCAGGUGGCAUUGGCUGAGGAAACUGAAAUCACAGAAUCUUCUGAGUUGGAAGAAACCCACAAGGAUCAUAAAGUCCAACUCUUCAAGUGAAUGGCCCAUAUGGGGACCAAACCCACAACCUUGGUGUUAUUAGCACCAUGCUCUGACCAGCUGAGCUAACGUUAUUCCUCCUCAAAUCUUUUAGGCAGCAGUACCUAUGAUGGAACUGUUGGAGCCAUUGGCAGCAGAAAUAUCUAUUCUGAAAACCUUUAAGGCAACAGCCAGGUCUCCCCACUCCAGGACAAGACUGAUCCUUUCAAGGGAGAGAUGAAGUUAUGGGACAGAGUAAAGGUGUCUCUUUUGGGGGCAUACUGAUAAGUCACCCAACCUGACAGUCUUGGAUCCUUGUACCAAGCAGCCAAAGCCAAGAGACAAUGACUUGAAGCAAGAAUCAAGAAUCUGAGGUCAAGUCAGGCCAAAAUUAAUAACCAAAGGCCUCAUGAGGACAAGGACAAUACUCAAUUUAACUAGAGCCAGGGUGAAUGUCAUAAUAACCCAGAAAGGCACCAAGCACUAUCUAGGAAGUAGAGUCCAGGCAAGAGCAGGACUGGAGCAGGACAGGUGCUGUGAGGUGCAGAAGACUAGAGCAAGCAGGAGCUGCCAGUACAAAAGCAGGGAUUUGGAUAGAACAAGACCAGAUCAAAACAUUGAACAGAAUAGAAAUGAGGAGAGAGAAACUUUCCCUAAAGUCUUGUCUGAGACACACACCAGAAACCACAAGUUCUAACCUAACUGUAGCUACCUAAAGGACUGGGAGCCAAGCCAAGCCAAGCCAUAUCAAGAAUUUCUCUAACAUCCAAAAAUGUUGCUCAUGAUAUAGGGCACUUUGCAUACAUUUCUUUCUAGGUAACUUUUAAUACUAAGGCUAGCAAAAGCCAGCCCCAAAACCUCUAGCAGAUACAUGUCAAGGCACAGUGUCAUGAUAUGCUGCCUUUACAGCAAUGCCCAUUCUCGCUAUUCCAUCUGUUUCUUCCCAUUCCUACCAUUCUGCCCCACUGAUGACAAGUAACACAGCCACUGGCUCACUCUCUUUGAAGCUGAGAAUUGAUCAGAUCUAGAAAAUGUUUUAAAAUGCUGGUCCGGUUCCCUGAUUUCAUUCACAACAUAACCAAACAAACAUUUGUACUACCACAGCUGAGGAAUCAGCACAGGGGUAAGUAGAUUCCUACAGGCAAGGAGGAACACUAUAAACCUGUGUUGCCAUCACAGCCAACAUACCAUCAGAUCAUAACUGGACAGUGCAGGAAGAAAUAUCAACUUUUAUCAAUCUUUAAAACUAUUUGUCAACAAAAAUAGUAGUAACAUAGAAAAAAGGAAACAAUGCAAGAUUUAUAUCCAUGUCUGACAGUAAGACCUGAUUUACUAGAAGACUCUUUUGCCAACUUCCAUGUAGAAACUGCCACAAUGUCUUACUAGAAAAUUAGAUUCACAUAUGCUGGAUUAAAAAUAAUAAUGUUCUAGAGAAAAAGGAGUUUGGCUCUUUGAGAAUCUAUUGGCAAUAUCCUUCUGGCUGCUCUGUGUGCAACAACAAGCCUUUGGUGUCACUUUAUGCAUGAGAUGGUCCUGGUUACAAUCAUUCAGGUUACAUAAGCACAGAUGUAAAAAUAACCAUCAAAAGAUCCUUUAAAGGAUGAGACCUGCCUAACAGAGUAGCUGUUGAGACGCACUCAUUAUAAAGGCUUCAGGAGUGUCCAGGAAAAAUCCCCAGUUUACCUCAAAGAAGUCACCUGAACCACACACAAACUACAAGGUUCCAAAA